CGACGAGCAGGUUUGUUUUAAAUGUCACGAAAAUCGCCGGAAAUAGGGCAAGGAGUAUCAUAGAAACAUAUUCCGGUGGUAUUUUAUUACCAAGAGAUGUGCCGUGUGAACUUCGUCCCCACGCUGUACUCAACAAUGUGCUCAAAACAUUCCAAAAGCGAUUAUUAUCCAGCCUCUUAUACAAUACAAUCAAGUCUUGGACUUUCAGUAAAACGAAGAAAUCUUCUUCCUACAGCACUGCCAGCGAUACAAAAGCACGAGCUGUUAAAACCACGAACUUGUGGUAAAACCACGACCGUGGGUAAAACCAACUGACUUCUGGUAAAAAGCUGGAACAAAGAUCAAGCACCAAGUAUACAACAUCGACAUUUCUACAUCGUCUGGUCUACAAGUAACAUCGUGACACAGUCACAAACACACCAUCGUUAGUAUCCUUAUCCAUCACAAUGCUAAAAACAACUGACGAUGUGAGUGCUCGAAACGGUAUUUUAAAAAAAAAAUUAAAAGGGCGACAAACGCAUGAGGGAACACGUGCGAGUAAGUAGUAUAUUUUGCAUGCAGCUAAAUAAGGAAGAAAUAGGUUUUUACCUCGAUAAACAUGAAUCAAAUUUUUAUUAUGCUCUAUUUUUAAUGGUAAAAUGUCAUCUUCAACAGUCAGAUGUAACUAUAAAAUAAAAAUGCAAUGAUGGAAAAUAACUAUCACAUAGAAACAAUUACAGGAGUUUAUCUCAAACAAAGUGCACGUUUGAAAUGUGUUUAUAUUUUAUCAACAAUAAUACACAUCGAAAAAUUAUCUCAAAUACGCCGGCUUCUUGACCACGACAACCUGAGCGAUGUUUCGUUAUUUGAUUGGAGGACAUGAAUACAUUUGGUGAACUUAGCCACACGACCUCUUACAAAUACUAUUCACGCACAUCAGAACUCUCCAGCAUCGGACAGUAGUUUCCUUCUGCUUUCCUAGUCGCAGGUGAGAAGGCCGAUGUCUGAAGACUUAUUUCUCGAAAAUUAAACAUAAUUGUGUACUCAUAAUCAUGCUCAAAUUAUUAUUUUAUGAUAAACUUAACCGAUCAUAACGAAAAGAUUUUGCGCUCGUGUUUGUCUUCUCAGACGGAAACAAUUAUAACUAAAAGAAAGAACAACAGAAUGGACGUGUCAUGUUUUGUAUCAGUGCAUCAGCAGUCUCGACUUUAGACUGAUUCCUUCUUCAUCAAUCGCUCCAGAAAGUUUUGCGCUGUCACAGCAGGUCUGAUAUGACUAAUAUUGUACAUCUCCAGAAAACUAAUCUUACAAUGACCGUCAAGACGAUGCUGUAACAAGAGUUGUGUGGAUGGAACGAACACAGAUGAUGGAGGUAUAUUUUCGUCUGCGGAAGAUGGGCCCCAGCACCAAACAUUGUGAUUUGAGCCUCCAUGCAAACUUCAUAAUAAAUUUCAGCUACUUUUCGAAGCAGAACUUGAUUGACUUAUCGAAGAUCCCAUGCAAUGGCAAGGCUAUGCAUACUGUUGGUAUUCAUCUUCUUAACAUGAGUAGCUACAUCACGAAGGCACACCAUAAUCUCUUUGUUUAAAAAGACAAGGCAUCCAUUAUUAGUGUUAUGUCUCUGUGCUUUUACUUUUCGUAAAGCUUUGAGCCUGUC
This 1636-nucleotide long non-coding RNA is filed under the name Pomacea canaliculata. RNAcentral describes it as "uncharacterized LOC112567323, transcript variant X1". Lineage: Eukaryota; Metazoa; Mollusca; Gastropoda; Architaenioglossa; Ampullariidae. The record is from RNAcentral.